UGGUGGUGUGUAAUAGUGGUAUAUAGAUGGUGGUAUGUAAUAGUGGUAUAUAGAUAGUGGUGUGUAAUAGUGGUAUAUAGAUGAUGGUGGUGUGUAAUAGUGGUAUAUAGAUGGUGGUGUGUAAUAGUGGUAUAUAGAUGGUGGUGGGUGUAAUAGUGGUAUAUAGAUGGUGGUGUGUAAUAGUGGUAUAUAGGUGGUGGUGUGUAAUAGUGGUAUAUAGAUGGUGGUGUGUAAUAGUGGUAUAUAGAGGGUGGUGUGUAAUAGUGGUAUAUAGAUGGUGGUGUGUAAUAGUGGUAUAUAGAUGGUGGUGUGUAAUAGUGGUAUAUAGAUGGUGGUGUGUAAUAGUGGUAUAUAGAUGGUGGUGUGUAAUAGUUGUAUAUAGAUGUUAGUUGGUGGUGUGUAAUAGUGGUAUAUAGAUGAUGGUGGUGUGUAAUAGUGGUAUAUAGAUGGUGGUGUGUAUUAGUGGUAUAUAGAUGGUGGUGUGUAAUAGUGGUAUAUAGAUGGUGGUGGUGUGUAAUAGUGGUAUAUAGAUGGUGGUGGUGUGUAAUAGUGGUAUAUAGAG
RNAcentral lists this long non-coding RNA (562 nucleotides) under Salmo salar (Atlantic salmon). RNAcentral describes it as "lncRNA (ENSSSAG00000101592.1, ENSSSAG00000109213.1)". Lineage: Eukaryota; Metazoa; Chordata; Actinopteri; Salmoniformes; Salmonidae. The record is from RNAcentral.